Molecule: long non-coding RNA, 327 nt
Organism: Pan troglodytes (chimpanzee)
Lineage: Eukaryota; Metazoa; Chordata; Mammalia; Primates; Hominidae
Exons: 3
Source: RefSeq, a predicted model, not a curated record
CAAGACAGAGACAGAGGAAUAUUGAGAAAGGAAAGAAGUGGAGGAGGAGAAAAGAAUAUGCAACAAGAAUCUCGCUCUGUCAACCCCGCUGGAGUGCAAUGGUGCAAUCUCGACUCAGAGACUGAGUUUCACCACGUAAGCCAGGCUGGUCUUGAACUUCUGACCUCAAGUGACUCCCCCGCCUCAGCCUUCCAAAGUGUUGAAACUAUAGGGGUUUCUAUAGAGGACUCUGAAGCCUGAAAAGAAGGUGGACCCAAGAAUAGAAGCAGCUGAUUCUGCUGUUAAUAUUUCUGUUUCCUCUUGGUUAUGUACACUAAUUUCUCUUGU